CGUUCAGGGGUAAACCUGUGAAACUCGAAUGAACGAACGGGGAGAUUCAUCGUCAUUCGGAGGGCGGCGCUGGCGUCGCACGAUGGAUAGCCCUCCGGCGGCCUCGGUCGUCCGGUGUGAGUUAUUCACGCGCGCGCUUGGCGCAGUCGGCCCUUCGAGGUCGUGCACUUCUCCUUUAGUAAUGCAUCGCGACCCGCUCGAUACCGGUCUAAGCCCCGUUCGGGUGCCCGUCGCGCAUUCUAUGCGCGGCGGACCGUGACGGUGGCCGACCGGUUGUCGGGCGGUAUCGGACGCGAAACACGCACGCGCUCGUCGCGUCCGGCCCGACGCAAGGUCGUCGCGAAAUCAGCGCUUCGCCCGAGUGCGAGCGUCCGGUUUCCGGCGCCUGCUUUUCGCAGCCGUGUCGUCUCGGACGUGCGUGUAUCCAGUCAUGCGAUGUUUUUGUUUCGGGCACUCACAGGACCCGUCUUGAAACACGGACCAAGGAGUCUAGCAUGUGCGCGAGUCAAUAGGUUUGCAAAACCGAAAGGCGCAACGAAAGUGAAGGCGAACGCUUGCCGUUCGCUCGGGGAGGAUAACGACGGGCUCUCGAGGCCUCCGUUCGCACUCCCGAGGCGUCCCGUUCGCAAUCUGUCGAUGUGGGCGCGCUCAGAGCGCAGAUGCUGGGACCCGAAAGAUGGUGAACUAUGCCUGGUCAGGUCGAAGUCAGGGGAAACCCUGAUGGAGGACCGUAGCGAUUCUGACGUGCAAAUCGAUCGUCGGAACUGGGUAUAGGGGCGAAAGACUAAUCGAACCAUC
RNAcentral lists this ribosomal RNA (798 nucleotides) under Stigmella xystodes. RNAcentral describes it as "eukaryotic LSU rRNA". It matches the Rfam family "Eukaryotic large subunit ribosomal RNA", at positions 406 to 944 of the family's 3401-position model. The record is from RNAcentral. Lineage: Eukaryota; Metazoa; Arthropoda; Insecta; Lepidoptera; Nepticulidae.